UAAUCUCACUUGGAACCUGCAAGUUAGGUA
This 30-nucleotide non-coding RNA is filed under the name Mus musculus (house mouse). The record is from RNAcentral. Lineage: Eukaryota; Metazoa; Chordata; Mammalia; Rodentia; Muridae.